RNAcentral lists this unclassified non-coding RNA (362 nucleotides) under uncultured bacterium. RNAcentral's name for it is "contains 16S-23S intergenic spacer region". The record is from RNAcentral.
UCCCUGUUACCAGGGCAGUCUAGCUAGAAAAAUUCAACUAACUAUAAGGGUUGCGCUCGUUGAAGGACUUAACCUAACAUCUCACGACACGAGCUGACGACGGCCAUGCAGCACCUGUCACUGCGGCCCGAAGGCACAUUUUCCUUUCGGAAAACUUGGCAGGAUUUCAAACCUGGGUAAGGUUCUUCGUUUAGUAUCGAAUUAAACAACACGCUCCACCGCUUGUGCGGGUCCCCGUCAAUUCCUUUAUGUUUUAGUCUUGCGACCGUACUCCACAGGCGGGAUGCUUAACGCGUUAGCUUCGCUACUACCAGGGUCGAUACUGAUAACAGCUAGCAUCCAUAGUUUACGGCGUGGACUAC